GACGAACGCUGGCGGCGUGCUUAACACAUGCAAGUCGAGCGAGGCCCACCUUUCGGGGUGGUGCCCUAGCGGCGAACGGGUGAGUAACACGUGGGCAACCUGCCCUCAGCUCUGGGAUAACUCCAAGAAAUUGGUGCUAAUACCGGAUGUGACCGCUGACCGCAUGGUCUGGUGGUGGAAAGAUUUAUCGGCUGAGGAUGGGCCCGCGGCCUAUCAGCUUGUUGGUGGGGUCACGGCCCACCAAGGCGACGACGGGUAGCCGGCCUGAGAGGGUGACCGGCCACACUGGGACUGAGACACGGCCCAGACUCCUACGGGAGGCAGCAGUGGGGAAUAUUGCGCAAUGGGCGAAAGCCUGACGCAGCGACGCCGCGUGAGGGAUGACGGCCUGG
This 392-nucleotide ribosomal RNA is filed under the name uncultured bacterium. Its description in RNAcentral is "bacterial SSU rRNA". It matches the Rfam family "Bacterial small subunit ribosomal RNA", at positions 28 to 419 of the family's 1533-position model. The record is from RNAcentral.